RNAcentral lists this ribosomal RNA (711 nucleotides) under Pseudomonas sp. G6(2010). RNAcentral describes it as "bacterial SSU rRNA". It matches the Rfam family "Bacterial small subunit ribosomal RNA", at positions 56 to 763 of the family's 1533-position model. The record is from RNAcentral. Lineage: Bacteria; Pseudomonadati; Pseudomonadota; Gammaproteobacteria; Pseudomonadales; Pseudomonadaceae.
UGCAGUCGAGCGGAUGAAGAGAGCUUGCUCUCUGAUUCAGCGGCGGACGGGUGAGUAAUGCCUAGGAAUCUGCCUAGUAGUGGGGGACAACGUUUCGAAAGGAACGCUAAUACCGCAUACGUCCUACGGGAGAAAGUGGGGGAUCUUCGGACCUCACGCUAUUAGAUGAGCCUAGGUCGGAUUAGCUAGUUGGUAGGGUAACGGCCUACCAAGGCGACGAUCCGUAACUGGUCUGAGAGGAUGAUCAGUCACACUGGAACUGAGACACGGUCCAGACUCCUACGGGAGGCAGCAGUGGGGAAUAUUGGACAAUGGGCGAAAGCCUGAUCCAGCCAUGCCGCGUGUGUGAAGAAGGCCCUCGGGUCGUAAAGCACUUUAAGUUGGGAGGAAGGGCUCAUAGCGAAUACCUGUGAGUUUUGACGUUACCAACAGAAUAAGCACCGGCUAACUUCGUGCCAGCAGCCGCGGUAAUACGAAGGGUGCAAGCGUUAAUCGGAAUUACUGGGCGUAAAGCGCGCGUAGGUGGCUUGAUAAGUUGGAUGUGAAAUCCCCGGGCUCAACCUGGGAACUGCAUCCAAAACUGUCUGGCUAGAGUGUGGUAGAGGGUAGUGGAAUUUCCAGUGUAGCGGUGAAAUGCGUAGAUAUUGGAAGGAACACCAGUGGCGAAGGCGACUACCUGGACUAACACUGACACUGAGGUGCGAAAGCGUG